GAUGAACGCUGGCGGUAUGCUUAACACAUGCAAGUCGAACGAACCCUUCGGGGCGAGUGGCGGACGGGUGAGUAACGCGUGAGGAACUACCUUUAGUUCGGGGACAACAGUUGGAAACGACUGCUAAUACCGGAUGAGCCGAGAGGUAAAAGAUUUAUUGACUAGAGAGGUACUCGCGUCUGAUUAGCUAGUUGGUGGGGUAAGAGCCUACCAAGGCAACGAUCAGUAGCUGUUCUGAGAGGAAGACCAGCCACACUGGGACUGAGACACGGCCCAGACUCCUACGGGAGGCAGCAGUGGGGAAUUUUCCGCAAUGGGCGAAAGCCUGACGGAGCAAUACCGCGUGUGGGAGGAAGGCCCUUGGGUCGUAAACCACUUUUCUUAGGGAAGAAGAUCUGACGGUACCUAAGGAAUAAGCCUCGGCUAACUCCGUGCCAGCAGCCGCGGUAAUACGGAGGAGGCAAGCGUUAUCCGGAAUUAUUGGGCGUAAAGAGUCCGUAGGUUGUCUUUCAAGUCUGCUGUCAAAGGCGGAAGCUCAACUUCCGAAAGGCAGUGGAAACUGAGAGACUAGAGAAUGGUAGGGGUAGAGGGAAUUCCCAGUGUAGCGGUGAAAUGCGUAGAGAUUGGGAAGAACACCGGUGGCGAAAGCGCUCUACUGGGCCAUAACUGACACUGAGGGACGAAAGCUAGGGUAGCGAAAGGGAUUAGAUACCCCUGUAGUCCUAGCCGUAAACGAUGGGUACUAGGCGUAGCUUGUAUCGACCCGAGCUGUGCCGAAGCAAACGCGUUAAGUACCCCGCCUGGGGAGUACGCACGCAAGUGUGAAACUCAAAGGAAUUGACGGGGGCCCGCACAAGCGGUGGAGUAUGUGGUUUAAUUCGAUGCAACGCGAAGAACCUUACCAAGGCUUGACAUCCCGCGAAUCUUUGUGAAAGCGAAGAGUGCCUUAGGGAGCGCGGAGACAGGUGGUGCAUGGCUGUCGUCAGCUCGUGUCGUGAGAUGUUGGGUUAAGUCCCGCAACGAGCGCAACCCUCGUCCUUAGUUGCCAGCAUUAAGUUGGGCACUUUAGGGAGACUGCCGGUGACAAACCGGAGGAAGGUGGGGAUGACGUCAAGUCAGCAUGCCCCUUACGUCUUGGGCUACACACGUACUACAAUGGACGGGACAAAGGGCAGCGAACUCGCGAGGGUAAGCGAAUCUCAUCAAACCCGUUCACAGUUCAGAUUGCAGGCUGCAACUCGCCUGCAUGAAGGAGGAAUCGCUAGUAAUCGCCGGUCAGCAUACGGCGGUGAAUCCGUUCCCGGGCCUUGUACACACCGCCCGUCACACCAUGGAAGCUGGUAACAUCCGAAGUCGUUACUCCAACUGCUUGCAGAGGAGGGUGCCGAAGGUGGGACUAGUGACUGGGGUG
This 1411-nucleotide ribosomal RNA is filed under the name uncultured bacterium. RNAcentral's name for it is "bacterial SSU rRNA". It matches the Rfam family "Bacterial small subunit ribosomal RNA". The record is from RNAcentral.